GAUGAACGCUGGCGGCGUGCCUAAUACAUGCAAGUAGAACGCUGAAGCUUGGCGCUUGCACCGAGCGGAUGAGUUGCGAACGGGUGAGUAACGCGUAGGUAACCUGCCUCUUAGCGGGGGAUAACUAUUGGAAACGAUAGCUAAUACCGCAUAAAAGUCGAUAUCGCAUGAUAUUGAUUUGAAAGGUGCAAAUGCAUCACUAAGAGAUGGACCUGCGUUGUAUUAGCUAGUUGGUGAGGUAACGGCUCACCAAGGCGACGAUACAUAGCCGACCUGAGAGGGUGAUCGGCCACACUGGGACUGAGACACGGCCCAGACUCCUACGGGAGGCAGCAGUAGGGAAUCUUCGGCAAUGGGGGCAACCCUGACCGAGCAACGCCGCGUGAGUGAAGAAGGGUUUCGGAUCGUAAAGCUCUGUUGUAAGAGAAGAACGAGUGUGAGAGUGGAAAGUUCACACUGUGACGGUAACUUACCAGAAAGGGACGGCUAACUACGUG
Molecule: ribosomal RNA, 497 nt
Filed under: uncultured bacterium
Lineage: Bacteria
Description: partial 16S ribosomal RNA
Rfam family: Bacterial small subunit ribosomal RNA
Source: RNAcentral